GAGUUUGAUCUUGGCUCCAGAUUGAACGCUGGCGGCAUGCCUUACACAUGCAAGUCGAACGGCAGCACGGGAGCUUGCUCCUGGUGGCGAGUGGCGAACGGGUGAGUAAUGCAUCGGAACGUAUCCUGGAGUGGGGGAUAACGUAGCGAAAGUUACGCUAAUACCGCAUAUUCUGUCGAGCAGGAAAGCGGGGGACCUUCGGGCCUCGCGCUCUUGGAGCGGCCGAUGUCGGAUUAGCUAGUUGUGA
RNAcentral lists this ribosomal RNA (247 nucleotides) under bacterium enrichment culture clone ALO1_GLFRUDD03GEIC8. Its description in RNAcentral is "partial 16S ribosomal RNA". It matches the Rfam family "Bacterial small subunit ribosomal RNA", at positions 9 to 254 of the family's 1533-position model. The record is from RNAcentral.